UACGAGGGGGGCGAGCGUUGUUCGGAAUUAUUGGGCGUAAAGGGUGCGUAGGCGGUUUGGUAAGUCUUAUGUGAAAUCUACAGGCUCAACUUGUAGUCUGCAUGAGAAACUGCCGGGCUUGAGUAUGGGAGAGGUGAGUGGAAUUCCUGGUGUAGCGGUGAAAUGCGUAGAUAUCAGGAGGAACACCUGUGGCGAAAGCGGCUCACUGGACCAUAACUGACGCUGAUGCACGAAGGCUAGGGGGAGCAAACAGG
Molecule: ribosomal RNA, 254 nt
Filed under: uncultured bacterium
Lineage: Bacteria
Description: partial 16S ribosomal RNA
Rfam family: Bacterial small subunit ribosomal RNA
Source: RNAcentral